UCGAAACAAUUUUUGAAAACUGAAAAGAAGAGACUUUCAUUUUCCAAGAACUUGGGUGCUUCUGAUCUGUUGCUUUCAAGACAAAAACCUGAUUCUGAGAACAACAGGUUAAACAACUAAUGGAGCCCAGAAAGUUGAACAUCAGUGAUACACACCGAGCUAGAUUCUUCGAUGCUUAUACUGUCAAAUCCAACUACUGGUAAAAAGAAUUUCUUGUUGCAAGAGAAAACAGAACCUCUAAUACUAGAAACACAUGCUAAAGUGCCAAACCCCUCUAUUGUCAUCAUCGUAUUGUGGCCAGGCUAUGCCCUAAAGCAGCAAAUUCGUUGGCAUUUGGACAAGACUACAUCCCUUGGAUGCAUAAAAGUUGGGAAUUGUCCACCACCAUCUUAUAGAACUCAAUAGGCAUCAUGGCUACACAAUAAUUUCACAGGAUACAUGAUUGUUAUUAUCAUAAUGUCUACUGUCUACUCUAUUUAAUGCCAGUCAUCACAUUCCCAGUACCAAUUUGAAAAAAACAAAGGACAAUUAUACUUGUAUUUCUUGAAAACUUCUGUAUAUCUUCUUGUGGGGCUUGGAAGUAUGGGUGAUAGAACGAAAUUGCAGAGGAAGAUGUUUGCUGGUGAGCUGAUAGAUAUGGUUAAUCCUAAUGGUCAUUCAAGACCCUCUGGAAGUCAUUUUUUUGCCGACAUGGGGUCCCUGUAUUCCAUUAUUAUGACUGUUAGGAAAUCGGAAUUGAGGCAAAAGAAGGAAGGCAAGGGGAAACCACCUUGACAUGUGGCUUGAUUGGCAGUCAAAGUUGGCUUGCAUUCAAGAGAGACUGAUGCAGUCGAAUAUUACUCGACAUUUGGAUUGGUUGGACUGGGAAAAUUGAAGCGGAUACCCUCACUAUCUGCAGAUUGGAUACAACUGAAGAGCAUACUGGUGUCCGUCUCUCGUUUCCGAGGAAAAAAUUCGGCACACUUAACAACGAAAGGCCUAACUUGUGGUCAGUUUUUAGUGGACCAGGUUUUAGGUUAUGGUCGGGAUUUGAGUUCUUUCUGGAAAAGGCGUGAGCGCAGUCAAUUGAUCAAUCAUUGCAAUAAAUGGAGAAACAUGAAUGGAUAGUCACUAAACAUAGUUCACUAACAAUUUGAAGACACUA
Long non-coding RNA from Populus trichocarpa (black cottonwood), 1144 nucleotides. RefSeq lists it as uncharacterized. The record is from RefSeq and is a predicted model, not a curated record. The transcript has 2 exons. Lineage: Eukaryota; Viridiplantae; Streptophyta; Magnoliopsida; Malpighiales; Salicaceae.